AGAUGAGUUCUCCCUGACCCUUUAAGGGUCCUGAAGGAACGUUGAAGACGACGACGUUGAUAGGCCGGGUGUGUAAGCGCAGCGAUGCGUUGAGCUAACCGGUACUAAUGAACCGUGAGGCUUAACCUU
RNAcentral lists this ribosomal RNA (129 nucleotides) under Escherichia coli. RNAcentral describes it as "partial 23S ribosomal RNA". It matches the Rfam family "Bacterial large subunit ribosomal RNA", at positions 2802 to 2925 of the family's 2925-position model. The record is from RNAcentral. RNAcentral also lists the same sequence under 2 other names. Lineage: Bacteria; Pseudomonadati; Pseudomonadota; Gammaproteobacteria; Enterobacterales; Enterobacteriaceae.